Molecule: long non-coding RNA, 1312 nt
Filed under: Cairina moschata (Muscovy duck)
Lineage: Eukaryota; Metazoa; Chordata; Aves; Anseriformes; Anatidae
Description: domestica (muscovy Duck (domestic type)) lncRNA (ENSCMMG00000007304.1)
Source: RNAcentral
GCAUCCCACCACACCUCGGAGGAUCUGGUGCCUGGAGCACUGUGUUUUCCCUGCUGGACCCGUCCUGAGCAUUAUUAUUUGGGCCAUGCUUCCCGGGUUUUAAAUUAUUCUGUCUCAACUAGCUGAUGGCAUUUGUUACAUGUCAUGCAAUGUUCCUGGUAAUUAAUUGGUAUUUAAUUAAUUAAGGGAUAAUGGCAUUCAAUUAAGGGAUGCCUGUGGAACACUGUCACUGGGUAAUUAAUGGCUUCCUGCUGCUCAAGCAAAGCUGAGGCAUUUGUGGAAAAUAAAUAGAGGAGAAGCUGAGAUGUUUGUUCCCUUGGCAGGAGGCUGGUCAUGUCCCAGAGCUCUCGGAUUCUCCAGGACCCCAUUUCCAGACCUCUGUCCAGGGCGAGCCAGGCUUUUCCCCCCAGCACACUUGAGAUUGCUGCCACUGACAUCCAGGAGCAUCUUUUCUGCUCCACUUGGGUAACAGGACCAGGAUGCAAGGAAGCUCUCUGGGAUGGAGGAAGGCCAAGGGAAUUUCCACUGCAAAAUUAAAGCCUAUGAGCUGGUAUGGUUAACCAUUUCUUUGUCAUUCUGUCCCGUGUGUGUUUCUGAGAGCAUGUGUGUGUUCAUGCCAGCAUGUGUGAGAUGCACCUGUAGUCACUGAUCUCUCAGCAUUUUUGGGUUGUUUUGGAUGAACCUUUUUUUUUUUUUUUUUUUUUUUUCCUCCAGCGGAGGUGUAGAGGAUGGACGUGAUGGAGCCUACACACUUUCCUGAGACCUCUGGGAUGGAAGGUAAUGUGGAAAUGGAAACUCUAAUUACAGAUCCAGCAAGCUCCACUUUCUAAUUAAUUGCAGAUUAAAGUAAAAAUAGAACUGGUUAUGUAAAAUAAACCUAAAAGCCCCAGUCUACCUGGUUACACAAUACCCAGAACAAUGAUCUCUGCUGAGGCUUAGUUCAGGGUGAAAAUGCUCCAGGUGUGGUUUUUGAAGACACGCAGAGCAAAAUGGGGCCACUUCUGCUGGGAACCACUGUUCACAUCCUAAUGUGGGGCUGGUGCCCAUGCCCUGCUCUGUGCCUGGGAAGGGGCUCCCCAGUCCCCCCACUGCACCCCCUGCCGUAGGCAGAAGGCUCAUCCAUCAGCUCAUGGACACCACUCAUCAUCCUGGAGGUCCCAAAAUGCUUUAAAGCCCACCUAGUGCAGUUCCCAGGGCAAAUCCCACCUCUGGAGUGAGGACACAACAUGAAUCUCCCUGUGGAUCCGACAGUGCUGGCUGUUCUUCAGCAUUGUUUCCCAGGCAGGGUUGCUGUUGUGCCACAACCUCCCCC